Molecule: ribosomal RNA, 494 nt
Filed under: uncultured bacterium
Lineage: Bacteria
Description: bacterial SSU rRNA
Rfam family: Bacterial small subunit ribosomal RNA
Source: RNAcentral
CUCAGGGAUGAACGCUAGCGGCAGGCCUAAUACAUGCAAGUCGAACGGCAGCACGGUGUAGCAAUACAUUGGUGGCGAGUGGCGCACGGGUGCAUAACACGUAUGUAAUUUGCCCAUAACUGGGAGAUAGCCUUCCGAAAGUAAGACUAAUGCCCCAUGGUCUCCGACGACGGCAUCAGACUCGGAGUAAAGGCCUCGGCCGGUGAUGGAUGGGGAUGCGUCCGAUUAGCUUGUUGGCGGGGUAACGGCCCACCAAGGCGACGAUCAGUAGGGGUUCUGAGAGGAAGGUCCCCCACAUUGGAACUGAGACACGGUCCAAACUCCUACGGGAGGCAGCAGUGAGGAAUAUUGGUCAAUGGGCGAGAGCCUGAACCAGCCAAGUAGCGUGCAGGAUGACGGCCCUAUGGGUUGUAAACUGCUUUUAUAAGGGAAUAAAGUGAGUCUCGUGAGACUUUUUGCAUGUACCUUAUGAAUAAGGACCGGCUAAUUCCGUG